This 654-nucleotide ribosomal RNA is filed under the name uncultured Methanosaeta sp. Its description in RNAcentral is "bacterial SSU rRNA". It matches the Rfam family "Archaeal small subunit ribosomal RNA", at positions 225 to 879 of the family's 1478-position model. The record is from RNAcentral. Lineage: Archaea; Methanobacteriati; Methanobacteriota; Methanomicrobia; Methanotrichales; Methanotrichaceae.
UCAGGUAGUAGUGGGUGUAGCGUACCUACUAGCUUACGACGGGUACGGGUUGUGAGAGCAAGAGCCCGGAGAUGGAUUCUGAGACACGAAUCCAGGCCCGACGGGGUGCAGCAGGCGCGAAAACUUUACAAUGCUGGAAACAGCGAUAAGGGGACCUCGAGUGCCAGGUUACAAAUCUGGCUGUCGUGAUGCCUAAAAAGCAUUGCAUAGCAAGGGCCGGGCAAGACCGGUGCCAGCCGCCGCGGUAACACCGGCGGCUCGAGUGGUAACCGUUAUUAUUGGGUCUAAAGGGUCUGUAGCCGGCCGGAUAAGUCUCUUGGGAAAUCUGGCAGCUUAACUGUCAGGCUUUCAGGAGAUACUGUCUGGCUCGAGGCCGGGAGAGGUGAGAGGUACUUCAGGGGUAGGGGUGAAAUCUUGUAAUCCUUGAAGGACCACCAGUGGCGAAGGCGUCUCACCAGAACGGACCUGACGGCAAGGGACGAAAGCUAGGGGCACGAACCGGAUUAGAUACCCGGGUAGUCCUAGCCGUAAACUAUACUCGCUAGGUGUCGGCAACGGUGCGACCGUUGUCGGUGCCGUAGGGAAGCCGUGAAGCGAGCCACCUGGGAAGUACGGCCGCAAGGCUGAAACUUAAAGGAAUUGGCGGGGGAGCAC